RNAcentral lists this ribosomal RNA (2110 nucleotides) under uncultured Limnohabitans sp. RNAcentral describes it as "partial 23S ribosomal RNA". It matches the Rfam family "Bacterial large subunit ribosomal RNA", at positions 541 to 2656 of the family's 2925-position model. Lineage: Bacteria; Pseudomonadati; Pseudomonadota; Betaproteobacteria; Burkholderiales; Comamonadaceae. The record is from RNAcentral.
AAAUAGAUCCUGAAACCGUAUGCUUACAAAAAGUAGGAGCCUCGUAAGGGGUGACUGCGUACCUUUUGUAUAAUGGGUCAGCGACUUACAUUCAGUGGCAAGGUUAACCGAAUAGGGAAGCCGUAGAGAAAUCGAGUCCGAAUAGGGCGAAUUAGUCGCUGGGUGUAGACCCGAAACCAAGUGAUCUAUCCAUGGGCAGGAUGAAGGUGCCGUAACAGGUACUGGAGGUCCGAACCGACUAAUGUUGCAAAAUUAGCGGAUGACCUGUGGAUAGGGGUGAAAGGCUAAACAAACUUGGAAAUAGCUGGUUCUCUCCGAAAACUAUUUAGGUAGUGCCUCAAGUAUUACCUGCGGGGGUAGAGCACUGUUUUGGCUAGGGGGUCAUGGCGACUUACCAAACCAAUGCAAACUCCGAAUACCGCAGAGUACAGCUUGGGAGACAGAGCACCGGGUGCUAACGUCCGGACUCAAGAGGGAAACAACCCAGACCGCCAGCUAAGGUCCCUAAAAUUGGCUAAGUGGGAAACGAAGUGGGAAGGCUAAAACAGUCAGGAUGUUGGCUUAGAAGCAGCCAUCAUUUAAAGAAAGCGUAAUAGCUCACUGAUCGAGUCGUCCUGCGCGGAAGAUGUAACGGGGCUAAGCCAGUUACCGAAGCUGCGGAUUUGCAAUUUAUUGCAAGUGGUAGGAGAGCGUUCUGUAAGCCUGUGAAGGUGCGUUGUAAAGCGUGCUGGAGGUAUCAGAAGUGCGAAUGCUGACAUGAGUAGCGUUAAAGGGGGUGAAAAGCCCCCUCGCCGUAAGCGCAAGGUUUUCUACGCAACGUUCAUCGGCGUAGAGUGAGUCGGCCCCUAAGGCGAGGCAGAGAUGCGUAGUUGGUGGGAAACAGGUCAAUAUUCCUGUACCGAUGUGUAGUGCGAUGUGGGGACGGAGAAGGUUAGCUCAGCAGACUGUUGGAUAUGUCUGUUCAAGCCUGUAGUCGUGCCUGGUAGGUAAAUCCGCCGGGCUUAGAUGAGGGGUGAUAACGAGGAUGCUUGCAUCCGAAGUGAGUGAUACCCUGCUUCCAGGAAAAGCCACUAAGCUUCAGCUACACACGACCGUACCGCAAACCGACACUGGUGCGCGAGAUGAGUAUUCUAAGGCGCUUGAGAGAACUCAGGAGAAGGAACUCGGCAAAUUGACACCGUAACUUCGGAAGAAGGUGUGCCUUUAGUAUGUGAACCUGAACAAGGGGAGCAGAAUGAGGCCUCAGAGAAUCGGUGGCUGCGACUGUUUAAUAAAAACACAGCACUCUGCAAACACGAAAGUGACGUAUAGGGUGUGACGCCUGCCCGGUGCUGGAAGAUUAAAUGAUGGGGUGCAAGCUCUUGAUUGAAGUCCCAGUAAACGGCGGCCGUAACUAUAACGGUCCUAAGGUAGCGAAAUUCCUUGUCGGGUAAGUUCCGACCUGCACGAAUGGCGUAACGAUGGCCACACUGUCUCCUCCUGAGACUCAGCGAAGUUGAAAUGUUUGUGAUGAUGCAAUCUCCCCGCGGAAAGACGGAAAGACCCCAUGAACCUUUACUGUAGCUUUGUAUUGGACUUUGAACAGAUCUGUGUAGGAUAGGUGGGAGGCUUUGAAGCCGGAACGCUAGUUUCGGUGGAGCCAACGUUGAAAUACCACCCUGGUGUGUUUGAGGUUCUAACCUAGGUCCAUUAUCUGGAUCGGGGACAGUGCAUGGUAGGCAGUUUGACUGGGGCGGUCUCCUCCCAAAGCGUAACGGAGGAGUUCGAAGGUACGCUAGUUACGGUCGGACAUCGUGAUGAUAGUGCAAUGGCAUAAGCGUGCUUAACUGCGAGACUGACAAGUCGAGCAGAUACGAAAGUAGGACAUAGUGAUCCGGUGGUUCUGUAUGGAAGGGCCAUCGCUCAACGGAUAAAAGGUACUCUGGGGAUGACAGGCUGAUACCGCCCAAGAGUUCAUAUCGACGGCGGUGUUUGGCACCUCGAUGUCGGCUCAUCUCAUCCUGGGGCUGUAGCCGGUCCCAAGGGUAUGGCUGUUCGCCAUUUAAAGAGGUACGUGAGCUGGGUUUAAAACGUCGUGAGACAGUUUGGUCCCUAUCUUCCGUGGGCGCUG